UGGACUAUUCCAAUUGUGCCAAGAACAGAUUUUGGUUGUUGGCCUUAUGUCGGAAGAUUUUGGAGUUCUUUCCCUCCAACCAAACAUAUUGCACGAGUCAAUCAAAUUGCCCCAAUUCAAAGACCGAAUGUGGAAUCCACAUUUAGCUUGUUGAAAUUGCAAAUCGUUUCGAUGGUAGAAAGUCACAAGGAACAGACAUAGGCGAUUCGAUGGUAGGCUGCGAUGUCAAGCACGCGAGAGUGUCUGCAUCAUUGUCUAUUAUCUGUUUGAUGAAAUGCCUAGCAAAUGCUUCUAAGCUGUAAUUCUCUCUACGCCUUUACAACUUUCUCCAUCGUCAAGACACACUCUAUGCAGCAGGAUAUUGAAUCCAUUGCAAGACGAGCAUGGACAUGUAGCAGAAGUGAAAAAAAGUUGGGAACUUGGAAAGACUUAGGAAAAAAAACAGAAAAAGUUGGAAAGAGGAAAAAAAAAAAAAAAAAAAAUAGAAUGAAAUCUACAAGUCCAAAUUGGAAGGAAAACUAAAAAUUAGUCUUCUUUGCUGUCUAAAAUGCCAGAGGUACGUUCUUUUUUUGGGGGGUGGGGGGAAUUUAAAGGGUUUUUUUAUUGUUGAUGAAGUGUUGAGCCACAUAGAACAAUGAGAGGAAAAAUUGGUUCUGCGUUAGAGAGAGAGAAAUGAGAUGAAUUUGUUUGCUUACAUGGCAAACAAGUGUAGUCCACCUAUUGAUCCGGCUUUUCUUUCCGAAUUUUUUUUUUUUUUUUUUUUUUUUUUUUUUUUGCAGUUUAUCAAGGAUGUACAAUGCCUAAUUGUAGGCUUCAUUUAUCUUUAGGAUUUGUAUGACAAAUGGGCAACAUGAAGCAUUGUGAUUAUCAUUAGAAGUUGUAGAUGUAGGUUCUUGUUAAGUUGAGGAGAUCAUUUCACAUUUGUCAAGAAUGCUGAGAUCAGAGUUUGAAUGGUAAUCCAAGCUAGCACAAGGAGAUUAUCUUUAGAAGAGAUUGAGAGAGAGAAGGCAUGUUUUCUUAAUACCAAGAAGAAGCCCGAGACUUGGAUUUCUUCUUGCUUUCUACAAUCUCUGGUUACCCCAAAUUUGGGGAAACAAACUCACAAUUGUUAAACAUCAAAAGAGGCCAGCUGACCAAGGCCUUGUGUCCUAGUGGUACUUACUCACCUUUUAAAGUAGAAGGUAAAUCUCCAUGGGGUUAUGAAGUGGGUAUGUUAGUAUGUUUCUUGCCAAUGAAAAAAAAUACUGAUCGGAGGUUUUGUUGGUCUUAAUACAUGAGCUUGGAAGAUGCCAUGUUGCUGCUAAAAGUCUUGAUACUUUGUUGUCCUUGAAGCUGCAAGAGUGAAGCCUUAGCUUGAUUAUCUAUGUGAUAGGGGAAGUGAUUGCUUGGGUGGUGGAGGAUUUCGUUCUGAAGAUUCUGAAAUUCCUUUCCUUCCAGAUGAAGUAGACAAAAGCUGCGAGUAGUAGUCUGCAUGUGAGGUUUUUGAUUGGUGUCAUCCAAGAAGAAGAAGCCAUAGCUUAAAGUUCUGGCCACGAGGAAUAGACAAGUUUAGGAGGGUUGUAUAGGUUCUGGAAGUGGUCCCAUAUGGUGGAUGUGAUUUUGAACCAGACCAAAGUGGACAAUGGGAAGGUAGCUGUGGUUGGUGGGAAUGAUUGCAUCUGAGUUAUUGUGAGAAGCUAGGUGAGUAAAUCCAAAGGAAGGUAUCAUCCUGUGAUCUGUUAAAUGGUGGGAGUAAGGCUUGAUUCUUGAGAUCAGGUAACGGUCUUUGUAGGCAGGGUGGGAUGUUCCAUUGGCCAUUUCUGAUGACUGCACUGACUUUGGUGUAUCUUUCCAAUGGAUGAGUUCAGAGUACCUGAGUUAGUGAUUUUGUGGACCAGUGGUCCACAAGUAAGCCAUGAAUCAAACCAGAGGGAGGAGUGGUUACCAUUACCAAUUUUGACAGUGAUUAGAGGUCUGGCUAAGGCUCUCAGUUGAAGCAGUUUUCAGAGUGAGCAUGAGCAAAUUGGCUGGGCAGUUGAUCUCCCCAAAAUUCCUUUCCCUAAGGUAGGUUGAUUGAAUCCAUUUUGACCAAUGUUUGAAGAAAUACCAAAUGUGCUUGAUCAUUGCACCUCUGUUCAAGGUAGUCAGAUUGGGUAAAGCCUAAACCACCAUUUGGCUUGGGAAGGCAGACCUGAAAUUAUGUUAUGAUAGGCAAGGGCAAAGUAAACAUCCGUGAUUUUGAUAUUUAUAAAAAAGUACACAAUAAUAGGGGUCUUUACAAUUUGAUACGUUUAAGGAGUGGUUAUUGGGUCUCUCAUAGUUAUUUUUAUUUUCCCAGCAAGAAUUGAAGAUAUUAUUGAUAAGAAUCAGUUCAAAAUUUCAAAUACAUCAUCGGAGCUUUACAAACUAUAAACUCAGGAGACUCAUUCCCCUCUCAUGGUACAUAAACUACCUUCCAUGAUUAGAAGAAAGGGAUUGUCAUGUACAGGUUCCAGUCCCAUUCACUGCCUUUACGACAGUCUCGGAAUCUGAUUGAAAAAUCACAUGCAUUAGAUGAUUAGAAGAACAAAUUUGUGUGUAUAUAUAUAAACGGUAAAUUCUAGCGUGAUUUAUGUGGAGUUUAUAUGAAAAAAGGUAGUGUAACGCACAAGAAUUGGGUUAAUACGGACCAUUAUCAUUUUCCUUUUGUAUUUGGCCUCAUAUUGGAAAGAAUAAGAAUAUGCAUUUUUUACGAUGGUCAAGUAUAGAUGGAUUAGGCAGAGAAGUUGUACACAGUAAAUUUAAUAUACUCAAUCUUAAUUUAGGGUAAAAUUUAACCCCAUUCAAUAUCCAUUCCAAAAAUAUCUAUUUCCUCCAUGUGUUGCUUGAUUUCCAAUUGGGACCGGACUCCACCAACAUAUUGAAUGGAAUAAUUAAACGGGGACACAGAGGCUGCUACCAGAGAUAGAGAGAGAGAUGGCUAUGGUUUCCUCCUAUACCCAAAAGAUGAGUUUACUCCUUGGAGGCAGAGUCUCCAUAAAACCUGCACUCAUCUCUUCGUCCAUCCAACGUUGUUUUUCAUCUUCUCUUCAAACAUCAGCAGCAGUAGGAACUACUCCUUUGUCUGCCUACCCGUGGCUGAUGGUUCCUCCUAGUUUGGUUUCUGACCGCGAAGAGGGGUGCGAAGUACUGUCCUCACUGCAAAAGCACAGUUGUUGGAUAUGUGGACUCCACUGUGAGAUACACACAAUUCAAGGUUAAGCAUAAAUCGGAGGUGGAGCUAGAGGACAAUGAUUACUAUUACUUGUUGAAUGUUGCCGAGAAUAAGGUUUUGAAGAAGAAAAAUCUAUGGUUGCCAUGGCAAACGGAUCACCUUUCUCCGGAUAAGGCCAUCUGCAUUGGCUCCUCUCAUGGCCGGCUUGCCUAUAUCCACCCCCGCAAUUGCUCCCUCUAUCUCUAUAAUCCCCUUAUUGAUUCCUCCAUGCCCUACCUUCCCCUCCCUCCAAUCGAAACCCUCCCUCCGAUUAUGUCAAGUCGACGUCUCAAUGGCUUGCACGUGGAUUCCUCCUCCCCCUCCUCCUCUGUUGUUACAGAGUUCAUGAUAUGAAAACAGAUGUUACCCAUAUCAGCUAAAGACCUAAGUGACAAUUUCUUUAGGAAGGUUGUUAUGUCCUCAGCCCCAACCCCAUUUUCUUCCAAUCACUAUCAGAACGUUGAUCAAGACUCUCAAUGUACGGUUAUGGCUAUCUACGGCAAUGAGAGCCCAAGAAGACUUGCCUUCAUGGACUGCACUGGAUUCGCCAAUAACGGACUCCUAUGAUGAUGUCUUCUAUGUCAGUAAGAACAAACUUUUUUAUGCUUUGUGCAAUAAUGGUGCAGUAGAAUCUUGGGAUCUCACCAACCCUUCUUCUCCAAAGAGAUCUCUUGUAAUUUCCGCUGAGCUUCCAAGAUAUCCACCGAAAAUGGACAAUCACCAUUGGUGUGUGAGAAGGGAUUCUUAUGCUAGAACGUGUUUGGCUGAAUCUUCUGGGGAAUUGUUGAUGGUUAAGAGGUACGAAAGUAAUGCCCGUGACCCUGAUAUGGACGGAAAGACCGUUGCAUUUGAUGUGUAUAAGCGGGACUUUGUUGAGAACAAAUGGGUGUAUGUGCAGAGCUUAGGAGAUCGUGUUUUGUUUAUGGGCCAAAAUCACUCUGUUUCUCUCUCCGCCCAUGAUUUCCCAGGGUUGAGAGAGAAUUCUAUUUACUUCACUGCUCAAUCUAUUGAAAACUCUUAUGCAAGUCACGAUUUCGGGGUCUUUAACUUGGAAGAUGACAGCAUCCACCACUCCGACUUGAAGGAUAUUCAACCUUCUCCUAUUUGGGUGGUCCCUGAUCUUUGAAGUGAUCUCCACUAAUCCUUGUUUCUCUCAUUCCAAAUAUAUGGCUGUGUUUCAAUUUUAUUAUUAUUAUAUUUUGUCUGCACUCUGAUUUUGCUUGCUCUCAGCAGCAUUCUUGUUUUAACUCCCUAUUGAAUUGAUGGUGUGAUGACCAAGUUUAUUUUUAUUUUUAUUUUCCUCUUAUAUAUUUUUUUAAUUGCAUUUUGUUAUGUUGUGGGGUCUAGGUUGACUAGUGGGUGAGAUAUGUGUGGAUGAGAAUGUGUGACAUGUAUAUGUGUGUGUAUAGAGAGAUAAAGUGUAAGAUAGACCAAAAAUCCUCUCAUUUCUCUCACUCCACCGACACUCUCUCUUCUCUCUCCCAUUCUUUUAUUUUUCAUUUUACUUCAACCAUUUCUCCACCAUUUCACCUCCAACAUUUGAGAUUUUGAGCUUGCAUAGAAGGGAAGUUGACGGGGACUACGAGAUGAACAAAACCCCUCAAUCAAUUUUGGAUUUGGAGCACAUUUUUCUUUUGGAGUAACUAGGGUUUGCUCCUAACUUGAGGAAAGGGCAUUGGCCAAGAGGAGGUUCCUCAUCCCUAGCUUGAUUGGGAUCUUGACAACAUUUUUGAGCUACUCGUAAUAAUUGUGACAUCCAUUGUGUAGCUUACUUUUAUUUUGACACAUGAUGUAUUUUGGAUAUUAUAUUUGAUGACAUAUUUGUAAUAUUCUUUUGGAGGAGGGAAAUGACGUAAGAACUCACCCAUCUAUCUUUUGGAGUUCCUAUGAAAUUUCCUCUCUUAUCUUUACUCAUAUAAUCCCUUAUCAUUAUUUCUCACCUUAUGGAUUGUAAUGAGGCCAUGGUGGCCAUGACUUAUAUAGUGGGAUUGAACAAUUAUUGUUUAAGUUGUGUA
RNA transcript from Cornus florida, 5226 nucleotides. It is a transcript of the gene named F-box protein At2g26160-like, with no coding region annotated. NCBI's taxonomy places the organism in Eukaryota, Viridiplantae, Streptophyta, Magnoliopsida, Cornales, Cornaceae. The transcript is spliced from 3 exons. The record is from RefSeq and is a predicted model, not a curated record.